Molecule: long non-coding RNA, 2159 nt
Filed under: Zea mays
Lineage: Eukaryota; Viridiplantae; Streptophyta; Magnoliopsida; Poales; Poaceae
Description: long non-coding RNA (ZMAY_LNC004637)
Source: RNAcentral
UCCUCCCGAUCACGGGAUGCUCAAGUUUUGAACCAGCUAACAAAAUGCAUAAGAAAGAAGCUCAACGAAGGGUACAACAUGUGGGGGGUUCAAGGACACUUCAUCAAAUCUAACUGGUCCCAUAUUCUGAUUACCUUCUCUCAAGAGGACCUUCAGCUGAUGAAUUACCCACAUAAUGAUGCAAUGGUUAUAUCGUGUAUCAUUAAAGGAUUCUUAGUCCACAAUGUGCUAGUGGAUACCGGAAGUGCAAUAGAUAUUAUUUUUUCUAAAGCCUUCGAAGAAAUGCAAUAACCAGAUGACGAGAUACAAGAUGCAGUACUUCCUCUGUGUGGCUUUGGAGGAAAGCAUAUAACAGCAUUCGGUAAAAUACUAAUGGCAAUUACAUUCAGCCAUAUUCAUAACACAAGAACUGAGGAAGUUGUGUUCGACAUAGUUGGCAUGGAGUAUCCCGAUAAUGCAACUGUUGGAAGAGGGACAAUGAAUGCCUUUAAAGUCGUGCUACAUUCAACAUACCUUUACAGGAUAAUCCAUCCAAUCAAGGCCCAAUUUCCAUAUUUGGAAGUCAAGAAUCUACAGGAAAAGUCGAAGGAAACUUGACAGACUCCAAGGUCAUUCACAACAUAGAUGAAGCCGAAGCCCAAAAUCAACAGAAGCACAUAAGGGACAAGGCAACUUCGGCGGAUCAGCCAAGGCUAUACUUCUUUGUGAAGAUAUAGCCGAUCAGAAAUCACUCUUUGGAACACAAUUAUCAGAAGAGCAAGAAAAAAGCUUAAAAGUUCUUGUUCAACAAUAGAGACGUAUUUGCUUGCUCAACUGAUGAUUUACGUGGAGUAAAUAGAAACAUCAUUGAGCACUCUCUCAACGUGGAUCCUUCAACCAGACCAAGAAAGCAAAAACUGAGAAAAAUGUCAAAAGACAAAGCUGAAGGAGCAAGAGCAGAAGUCAAAAGGCUUCUAAGUGUUGGGGUAAUCAGGAAAGUUACUUACCUAGAAUGGCUUGCCAAUAAUGUAAUUAGAUCUGAUCAUGGGUCACCCGACCCGACCAACCCAACCCGCUCAAAAAAAGACUUGGUCUGGCUCGAUCCAACCAAUGCAACAGACGGGUAUGGAUUAUAAUUUUUGACCCACAAUAAUUCAUGGGCCAUAAUUUUUAUCCAAAACCCGACCCAACAAAAAAAAAACUCGACCCAAAGCCAACAAAUCCGACCCAACCCAAAAAAAACUUAACUCGACACGUCAAACAGGGAGGCACGGGCCAACCUGACCUAACAUUAGACACGAGUGAGGUACGGGUCGUAUUAAAUGACCCCCCGAUGUUUGCACAGGUCUACCUGUAAUGGUGAAAAAAACAAAUGAGAAGUGUAGAAUGUGCAUUUACCUCACGGAUCUCGAUAAAGCAUGUUAUUUCCUCUACUACAGAUAGAUUCACUUGUUGAUGUCGCCUCUACUUUAGAGCUUAUGAGACUACUAGACUGUUAUCCAGAGUAGCAUUAGACAUCGAUUAAAAAAAAAGAUGGACAAAAAACAAGCUUCAUCGCUUGAUCAUUUCAAGUGGUACAUAAUGUUAUUCCAAUGCCUGAGUGUCUGAAGAAUGCUGGGGAAGCCGGAGCCUGACAUACUGGGAAAACGGCUCGAGAGGGAGUUGGGGUGAAGGCGAACGCGGUUAGGGCCUCACCGAGGGGGUCGGGGUAGCGGAGGAGGUCGACGACGAGCGGUGGCGGCGCAAUGAACUCCGGCGGGGUCGGGGUACCACGCCUAGAGGACCGUAAAGAGCUCGGAGAUGAUCGGGGAAGCAGCAGCGAGCUCCGGGGAGCACGAUGGCACCCUUGGCGCGAACGGUGGUGCGACGGCGACAACGAGCGCUGACAGAGAGCAGCGAGGCACGGGAGGGGGCGCUGGUGCUCGGAAUCGAUGGCGGGGGUUCGAGUGGUACUGAUAGAGGCGAGGCCGGGGCGAAUCGGGCUCCAAAUCGGUGGGGAUCGACUCCGACCAAUUUCCGUAAACGACGGAGAAAAAAAGGAAAGAAAUACUCAGCGAGGGGAAGGGGAGUUGGUCGAGAUCGUGGGGAAAAGAAGGGUGUCUCGGCGUGCUCCACUUGUGGCAAGGAAUCAAACGAGGCAGCUCGACGUGGUGGCACGCACGGUGAGAUCCUGGUGCAGG